GAAGAAGAGGAAGAGCUCCUUGAAGUUCAAUGGAGGGUUUAGCAGGGUGUAGUAAAGCUGCUAAGCUAUGGAUCCCAUAAGCCUUAUCUAAUUCAAAACAGUUGAUGAUAAAGUUUUUAUUUUUUAUGGAUUCCAUAUCUCAGGAGCUUUCACUCACCCCUUCAAUGGCUUCACUCUUCUUUGGAUUGAAGGGAGCUCUUCAUCUCUCUCUC
RNAcentral lists this microRNA precursor (212 nucleotides) under Capsella rubella. RNAcentral's name for it is "MIR159 microRNA precursor family". It matches the Rfam family "MIR159 microRNA precursor family". Lineage: Eukaryota; Viridiplantae; Streptophyta; Magnoliopsida; Brassicales; Brassicaceae. The record is from Rfam by way of RNAcentral.